GCCGGGCAUGGUGGUGCAUGCCUGUAAUCCCAGCUACUUGAGAGGCUGAGGCAGGAGAAUUGCUUGAACCUGGGAGGCGGAGGUUGCAGUGAGCUGACAUUGUGCCACUGUACUCCAGCCUGGGAAACAGAGUAAGACCCUGUCUCAA
This is an unclassified non-coding RNA of Pongo abelii (Sumatran orangutan), 148 nucleotides long. It matches the Rfam family "Metazoan signal recognition particle RNA". From Rfam's summary of the family: The signal recognition particle (SRP) is a universally conserved ribonucleoprotein. It is involved in the co-translational targeting of proteins to membranes. The record is from Ensembl. NCBI's taxonomy places the organism in Eukaryota, Metazoa, Chordata, Mammalia, Primates, Hominidae.